RNAcentral lists this long non-coding RNA (203 nucleotides) under Fragaria vesca (wild strawberry). RNAcentral describes it as "long non-coding RNA (FVES_LNC003461)". Lineage: Eukaryota; Viridiplantae; Streptophyta; Magnoliopsida; Rosales; Rosaceae. The record is from RNAcentral.
UUUCCCUCUAUAAAAGGUGAUGAGUAAUAAAGAAAUCUCCACGCUCUCAUUUUUCAACAUCUCUCCAAUUGCUAACAAGCAAGAAGUUUGCCCACUUAAGCUUUCUCUAUUCUCUAGUUGCCAAAAUCUAAGAUCGUUUAUUCAGGACGACCAAGAAAAUGGCUGUUGGUGAAACCAAAGUUGCCCAAGAGGAAUGCAAGGUU